CGCAAGUCAAUAAGAGUUGGGCUAAAAGUCAGUGUCUUGUGGGUUGACAGUAAAAAGGGAGGGUCUUCCAAAAACAAGCACCAGGAGGGUGAGAAGCAGGAGGAGGGUCAUAACAGACUUUCAAAGAACAAGGUUGUCGUGAAAAAGAAAAAUGUUUCUAAAUACGAGACAGGAGGAGGAGGAGGAGAAAGUGGAUGAUGAGGCGCGUCAUGACACAAAGAACAAGGUGGGAAGCCAACCAGAGGGGACGGGGAGCAGCUGGUUGCCCUGGACAAAAUAAAAAAG
Pungitius pungitius (ninespine stickleback) is the source of this 285-nucleotide long non-coding RNA. RefSeq lists it as uncharacterized. The record is from RefSeq and is a predicted model, not a curated record. NCBI's taxonomy places the organism in Eukaryota, Metazoa, Chordata, Actinopteri, Perciformes, Gasterosteidae. The transcript is spliced from 3 exons.